Benincasa hispida (wax gourd) is the source of this 2317-nucleotide long non-coding RNA. RefSeq lists it as uncharacterized. NCBI's taxonomy places the organism in Eukaryota, Viridiplantae, Streptophyta, Magnoliopsida, Cucurbitales, Cucurbitaceae. The record is from RefSeq and is a predicted model, not a curated record.
GGGUAAAAAUAAAUAUAUAUACUUAUAUAUUUAUGAGUAUCUCGGUUAGCGUGAAAGAUAAAAAGGGAAAAAAGAGAGUUCAUCUUCUUCACGCGUGAGGCAGCCGUUGGAGCCUUCUCCCAGUCGAUCGAAGAACCAGCCGCCUCACCUCGCGUCAGCAUCCUGCUCAGCCUCAGCGUUUGACCGCCGGAGGAGCCACCGCCUAUCGCUCAACGUCGCCGAUUCGUCGCUCGAUCACACCGAGCGUUUCACUCGCCCAGCCCGCCACCGUCUCUCUCCCUCUCCCUCACCAUUCGCUCGCCCAGCCGCCAGCCGCCGCCUGCGCCCAGUCCCAAACCCGACGAUGCCACCAUCGAUCUCCGACCAAUGUUGUCGUCGGUACCUUGGUCUUCAUCAGAAUCCUAGAUUUUUUGUUCGUACAGAUGAAUUGGUGUUUGUGACAUUUGGAGAGGAAAUUCGUGAAGAAUGAAUUUCUACAAGGAGGUUGCUCUUGAACCCAUAACAAGAGUGUUGUAACAGUUUGAUUCUCAACCGUAAAAAGGAUCGAGUUUGUUCUUACUCCAAAAAAGGAACACUGUAGCGGUUCGACUCUAAGUCGUGGGAAGAGUCAAGAUUGAAUGAUAUACCCAAGUGGAGCUUGGGAAGUGGAUGUAGGUCAGGUCAUGUUGAACCACUAUAAAAUCACGUGUCAAUUUCUCUAUCCCUCUCCUAAUUUAUUUUUGCAAUCAAUUAUUGUUAUUAUAUUUCAUUGGAAUAAAUUAAUUACAAUUUUUAAUUCUUGAAAUCAUUGUUCAUAUUUGUUUGUUUUGAUUGAUAUUUGUUUGUUUUGAUUGAUAGCUCUUAAAAACUUCUAUCGCCUAUCAAUCUUAUUAUUAUUAUUAAACAAGGUGUUUAAAAGUGUUAGUUUUAGUUUAUUGACUAUUUGAAAUGAAUUUAUUUGUAUAAAAUUCUUGUUUAAAUUACUUAUUAGCACAAAGUGUAUUACUUAGUUUAACUGGCCUAGAUUUAAUAAAAAGUUUUAAUUAGUUUGAAUAAGCUCUAUCCUCCCCUCUAGGGUUGUCAUACCUAUCAUGUGUUUUUUGUGAAACCAAAAAUACAGUUGUGAGGGUAUAAAUUAAACUACUAUAUAAGACGAUUUUCAAAUACAAUGAACUAAUAAUUAAAAUUUUUUAUUUAGAAAAACUUCCAUCAAUCGAGUUUUAUUUGCUUUUGUUUUUUUUUUUUUUUCAAUAUAUGAUACUUGAGUUGGUUAUUAGGGUUAGUUGCUAAAGAUAAUUGAUGGAGUUGAUGAUCCUAAUUGGUCAUCGGAGGUGGUAGGCGUGGAGUUGGACGUCAAAGAUGGUCACUGGAGAUGAUUGUCAGAAGUGGUUAUUGGAGUUUGGCUGUGAUAGGUAGUCAACGAGGUGGAGUAAUUAGAAACAUUCGAGGGAGGGAGAGAAAAAAGAUUUAUUAAUGUUCAAACUUCAACCGUGAAUACUAUUGAUAUUGGUGGAGUUGAGCUACUAUAACACCGACUUGAGAAGUUGAUGGACUGAACAUUGUUGAGUUAAAAACUCAACUCGAUUCAAGUCAAUGUCUCAAACACCCCUUAAUUGUUAGCACUAAGAGCAAUAAAGGGGAAAAAAACCAUAUAUAAUGUUCAAAUUAGAAUCAUUUUAAUGCAUAUAUUGUAGUUUUUAUAAUUUUUGUAUAAUAGAAAUUGAUUUACAUAAAUACAUAAGAAAUAUUGAUGAAAAAUAAGUAAUAUUUUACUUAACAAAAAAGGAAAAUAAUAAUUAGAAAAAAGAAAGGAAAAAAAGAGGCUGGCCCAUAGGCUAUACUAGGAAAAUAAAAAUUCGUAGUUAUCACAUCGGUAAGGAAACCUGUUGGAAUUAGGGACCACAUACUUCUUUUAUACAUUCAAUAACUAAAUUUAAUUUAUAUUAAAAAAAAAGUUAAAAUACCAUUUUUCCUAUUUAAUUUAGGUUAAAAAUUAAUUUUAGUGCCUAAACUUUCAUAAAAGUAUCAAUUUAGUCAACUUUGAUAUGUAUCUCUGUAUUUUUAAUUUUACAAUAAUUUAAUCAUUGAGCUUUCCUAUAUAAUAAUUUAAUCGUUGUAUUUUAAAUUUUGUAAUGAUUUAGUCUCUAUUGUAGAAAUUAGUAUUAAGAUUUAAUGAUUUUUUUUUGCAUAAAUAAGCCGAUAAAUAAAUUAGAGAGUCAAUAUUUUUAUAUAAUACAAAGUCUACGUCAUUAAAAAAAAUAAAGCUUAUAUCUAAUUUUGAUAGUUUUUUUUAUGUUAGGGACUAAUUGUUACAAAUUUGAAAGUAUAAUGACCAAAU